GGAGAGCUCAAUUUGAAAGCUGGCGUCUUCGGCGUCCGCGUUGUAAUCUCGAGACGUGUUUUCCGUGCGGCUCUAUGGACAAGUCCCUUGGAACAGGGCAUCGUAGAGGGUGAAAAUCCCGUACUUGCCAUGGAAGUACCGUGCUUUGUGAUACACGCUCCAAGAGUCGAGUAGUUUGGGAUUGCUGCUCAAAGUGGGUGGUAGACUCCAUCUAAAGCUAAAUAUCGGGGAGAGACCGAUAGCGAACAAGUACCGUGAGGGAAAGAUGAAAAGCACUUUGGAAAGAGAGUUAAAAGUACGUGAAAUUGUCGAAAGGGAAGCACUUGAAGUCAGCCAUGCUGCUUGAGACUCAGCCUGGCUUUUGCUUGGUGUAUUUCUCGGUAGCAAGCCAGCAUUGGUUUGUGUCGUCGGAGAAGCGUAUGGGGAAUGUGGCAUCCUCGGAUGUGUUAUAGCCCUGUGCAGGAUACGACGACGUAGACCAAGGAACGCAGUGUGCCCUCUGGGCGGGU
This 509-nucleotide ribosomal RNA is filed under the name Malassezia restricta. RNAcentral describes it as "eukaryotic LSU rRNA". It matches the Rfam family "Eukaryotic large subunit ribosomal RNA", at positions 102 to 616 of the family's 3401-position model. The record is from RNAcentral. Lineage: Eukaryota; Fungi; Basidiomycota; Malasseziomycetes; Malasseziales; Malasseziaceae.